Amphimedon queenslandica is the source of this 342-nucleotide long non-coding RNA. RefSeq lists it as uncharacterized. The transcript is spliced from 5 exons. Lineage: Eukaryota; Metazoa; Porifera; Demospongiae; Haplosclerida; Niphatidae. The record is from RefSeq and is a predicted model, not a curated record.
AUUUUUUGUCUAAUCGGCUAUAACCUGUCAGAUAAGCUAUUAGUGUUUUAGUAAGUUAUUGUUAGGAGACUAUCGUCAUCAAUUAAAGGCAUGUUGUCAUGCCUUUGUUGCUUCAUUCUGUGGUAUUAUUUCCUAUUUGGGGUUGUCUGCUUCAUUCACAAGGAAUGAAAACGAUGCUGGCAACAGCUACAUAAGUAGGAACAGGUUUUAUGAGUUUGUUGGGUUAUUUAAUUUUCUUGCCUGGUUUCGCCAAAGAUACAGGGUAACGACUGAGACUGCUACUCCCCCUGAAGACGUUAAUGAUAAUGGUGCAACACUUCUGGUAUAACCAAUUAACUGCAC